UACGUAGGGGGCUAGCGUUGUCCGGAAUCAUUGGGCGUAAAGAGCGUGUAGGCGGCCCGGUAAGUCCGCUGUGAAAGUCGGGGGCUCAACCCUCGAAUGCCGGUGGAUACUGUCGGGCUAGAGUGCGGAAGAGGCGAGUGGAAUUCCUGGUGUAGCGGUGAAAUGCGCAGAUAUCAGGAGGAACACCGAUUGCGAAGGCGGGUUGCUGGGCUGACACUGACGCUGAACUGCGAAAGCUAGGGGAGCGAACGGG
This 253-nucleotide ribosomal RNA is filed under the name uncultured bacterium. RNAcentral's name for it is "partial 16S ribosomal RNA". It matches the Rfam family "Bacterial small subunit ribosomal RNA", at positions 524 to 776 of the family's 1533-position model. The record is from RNAcentral.